UCUCCUACCCUAAACCUUUCUCUCACUCACGCUCACUGAUUGACCUUUCUCUUCCUCUUCUCUAACCCUCUUCACCGACCUCAUAGCUAGCGCACACUAAUCGCCACUUCGGUUGCCCCUGGUGAGUGGAAAAAGAGGGAAGCAACGAUGUAAUGAAACAAAACGAUGAGAGAGUGAAGAUUGGAAGGCGGUGUGUUUAGGGUUACAAAGGAGGCCAUGGUAGAAGAACGAUGAUGGCAGUGGAGGAGAGACUCUCCCCUUGUUUUCACAAACAGUCAACUCUCUCUCUCUCUCUCUCUCUCCAUCCUUCCCCAGGUGGAUCCCCAAGAUAUUGUUAUGGUAUGUGGAUAUAUUUAGAUACUUUGAACCUGCUACAAAUCAUAAAACACAAAAUGAUUUAUAUAAUUACACUGUGCUGAAAAUUUUGUCAUGUAGGAUUAAAUUUUUUAUCCUUUGAUCUGUGAUAAACUCUAAAAUUUCAAAGAAUUUGCAAAAUUCCUUGGAAGAGUGUGGUAGAAGUAGUUUUUUAUUUUUUAUUUUUUUGAAGAUCUUAAUUUGUUGCAGGAACGAAUUGUUUUUUGUGGUUUAAGAAAUGGAGCAAUUGGUUUUCUACAUGUUCAUGUCUUGGAAUAAUUAUCAAUUUUUAAAUGGAGAUGACAACUCUCUUCUUGCUAUUAAUUUGUUUUCUGCAUGUUCAUGUCUGAUGAUGAGUUAACUGCUGAAAUCUUUUAACACGUGACGUGAGUUUUCCUAUAUUCAAGGGCACGGAUAAAAUGUUUGCAUAACCCUGUUCCUUCUCCUGAUCAUUUUGCCCUGUAGUCAUAGUUCAUAUUCAGCUAUCUUAAGAUAUUUGGUCCAUUUUUUCCAUGAGAAUUGAUUAUUCAAUCAAAGUGGUAAUUCUUUUUCUAUUGAAGUAGGAGAUGAAGAGUCAGUGUGAUGAGAAAAAGUCCGACUGUAUCUUUUGUAAGACUAGAAUAGUCUCUAUAAAUAGUUAGUUUAUUCAUAUGUUCCUGCAGUUUCUGAAUUAA
Molecule: non-coding RNA, 1028 nt
Organism: Camellia sinensis
Lineage: Eukaryota; Viridiplantae; Streptophyta; Magnoliopsida; Ericales; Theaceae
Source: RefSeq, a predicted model, not a curated record